RNAcentral lists this transfer RNA (66 nucleotides) under Camelus bactrianus (Bactrian camel). It matches the Rfam family "tRNA". From Rfam's summary of the family: Transfer RNA (tRNA) molecules are approximately 80 nucleotides in length. Their secondary structure includes four short double-helical elements and three loops (D, anti-codon, and T loops). The record is from Rfam by way of RNAcentral. RNAcentral also lists the same sequence under 2 other names. Lineage: Eukaryota; Metazoa; Chordata; Mammalia; Artiodactyla; Camelidae.
GGUUGGCUCAGUGGUAGAGUGCUGUGCUUUGCAUGCACAAGGUCCUGGGUUCAAUCCCCAGCACCA